Molecule: ribosomal RNA, 253 nt
Filed under: uncultured bacterium
Lineage: Bacteria
Description: partial 16S ribosomal RNA
Rfam family: Bacterial small subunit ribosomal RNA
Source: RNAcentral
UACGGGGGGAGCAAGCGUUGUUCGGAUUUACUGGGCGUAAAGAGCUCGUAGGCGGCUUGUUGCGUCGACUGUGAAAACCCGCGGCUUAACUGCGGGCUUGCAGUUGAUACGGGCAGGCUAGAGUUCGGUAGGGGAGACUGGAAUUCCUGGUGUAGCGGUGAAAUGCGCAGAUAUCAGGAGGAACACCGGUGGCGAAGGCGGGACUCUGGGCCGAUACUGACGCUGAGGAGCGAAAGCGUGGGGAGCAAACAGG